UUACAGGCGUGAGCCACCGCGCCUGGCCGUUGUUCUUAUUCUUUAUCCAUUUUGUUGAAGAUAUUUAACAGAAUAGGGCUGAGGAAAGAAUUCUAUAGUCUUUUUUUUUUUUUUUUUACACAGAGUUUCAAUCUGUUGCCCAGGAUGGUGUGCAGUGGUGUGAUCUCAGUUUACUGCAACCUCCACCUUCCGGGUUCAAGAGAGUCUUAUGCCUCGGCCUCCCAAGUAGCUGGCAUUACAGGCAUGCACCACUACACCCAGUUACUUUUUUUGAAUUUUUAGUAGAGAUGAGGUUUUAUAAUGUUGGCCAGGCUGGUCUUGAGCUCCUGUUCUCAGAUGAUCCGCCCGCCUCGGCCUCCCAAAGUGCUGGGAUUAUAGGCGUGAGCUGCCACACCCAGCCUAUUGUCUUAUUCUUGAAAUUUUUUCUUUUUCUUUUUCUUUUCCAAGACAGAGUCUUACUCUGUUGCCCAGGCUGGAAUGCAGUGGCACGAUCUCUGCUUACUGCAACCUCUGCCUCCCAGGUUCAAGCAAUUCUCCUGCCUCAGUCUCCUGAGUAGCUGGGAUUACUGGCAUGCGCCACCACACCUGGCUAAUUUUUGUAUUUUUAGUAGAGACAGGAUUUCACCAUCUUGGGCAGGCUGGGUCUCAAACUCCUGACCUCAGGUGAUCCCCCUGUCUCAGCCUCCCAAAGAGCUGGGAUUACAGGCAUGAGCCAGUGCGCCUGGCCUGAAAUUUUUUCUUGACUGUCAGCUUUUAAAAUCAUGAACUGUGGGGUAGAGGAGUAUAUUCGUGUGUAUGUAGUAUGAGGUUCCUUAGCUGUGGGAUAUUGGCAGACAGAUAAAAGUGAAGAUUUUCGAACAGAGCAAGUAGAUGAAGGGGACAUGCCAUGUUGAAGAAAAUUAAUGAGGGAACACAUAGAAACAAAGAGGAAAGCACAGAUAUUCUUGACAGGUUAAAUAAUAAGCUGAAUUUCUUUUGAUCUAGGAGACAAGGGCAGUCAUCUGUCAAACUCCUUGAUGUAUUUGUGCUUGUUCACAUAUCUAGACACUGUGAACCCAGAACAUCUGAGGCAGGUCUCAGUUAAUUUAGAAAGCUGAUUUUGCCAAGGUUGAGGAUGUGCCCGUGACACAGCCUCAGGAGGUCCUGAUGCCAUGUACCCAAGGUGGUCGGGGCACAGCUUGGCUUUAUAUAUUGUAGGGAGACAAGCUACAUUAAUCACUUUAUCUAAGAAGUACAUUGGUUUGGUCUAGGAAAGGCGGGACAACUUGAAGCAAAGGCAGGAAGACUCAAAGCAGAGAAGUUAUAGUCUUUUGAGUUUCUGAUUAGUUUUUUCCAAAGGAGGCAAUCAGAUAUGCAUCUAUCUCAGUGAGCACAGGGGUGACUUUGAAUAGAAUGGGGGGCAGGUUUGCCCUAAGCAGUUUCCAGUGUGAAGUUUCCAUAGUGACUUUGGGGGCCGAAGAUAUUUUCCUUUCACAAUAGCGUAAGACUGCUUCUUAAGAUCCACGAUCCUCUCAAAGAGGCCAGUAUGAAUCAACAUCGGUAGGUGUUCAUACUCACUUUAAACUAAAGAUUUAGGCCAGGUGGGGUGGCUCAAGCCUGUAAUCCCAGCAUUUUGGGAGGCUGAGGCCGGCAGAUUGCUUGAGGCCAGGAGUUCAAGACCAGCCUGGGCAAUAUGGCAAAACCCAGUUUCUA
This 1692-nucleotide long non-coding RNA is filed under the name Macaca fascicularis (crab-eating macaque). Its description in RNAcentral is "lncRNA (ENSMFAG00000062337.1)". Lineage: Eukaryota; Metazoa; Chordata; Mammalia; Primates; Cercopithecidae. The record is from RNAcentral.